UGCUAUAAAUAAAAUAUUUCAAUAAUAUUGCAAUACUUAGGAUAACUAAAAAAAAUAUUCUUGCUUGAAAAUACUCUAAAGGAAACUGAUAGGGACUUGCUGAAGUUUCUGAAACAGCGUAAAGAGUAAUCCAUCGAGCUACAUUUGCAAUUCCAAAGAAGAAAGAGAGUAACAUUCCUUUCAAGCUGGCAUUCCCUUGAAAUACUUACAAGUUUCGAGUAAUUACCCAAACAUAGCUGGGAUCUUAAAAGACUUCAAUUCAACAGAACUUCAUAGCCAAUCCCUACAUUAUCUCAGUCCAAACAUAGCUGGGAUACUGCUCCAUUAGUUAGUUAUACCUGAAUGGCUAUCCAAACAAGGACGUUGAAGUCAAGUAUAUAAAGACCCAAGAUUAAGCCGCAGACAUUUUCACUAAACCACUCAAACAUUAUGUUAUUGCCAAGAUGAAAGAUAUGCUAGGAGUUACAAAGAAAUUAAGUUUAGGGGAUGAUGUUAAAAGUAAACCAAAUUUCAAUUUUUUUAAAAAAAAUAAAGGAAUUGGUUGAUUGGUUGAAUUAAAUAAAUCAAUCAACCGGUUAAGUCAAUGGAAUAUGUUUACUGUUCAAAUUAAGAUUAUUAUUUUUUAGUAGUUUAAGUUCUUAUUUGUUUAGGACUUGAAGCCUAUAAAUAAGCUUGUAAUCAUAAGCAUAAUUUAAUAUGUGUAGAGAGGAAUACACAAGAAAUGAAAAACACGUGUGUGCAUUUAUACAUAAUGUGAAAAACAUAAUUAGAAUGCUUAUUGAGUAAAGAUAAUUAAUAUGUAACCCUUUUUUUCCCCUGAAAUACUUGUUUUCAAGUUGUAGCAUGUACCAAGUCACAUUAUGCCUUAAUGUUUUUCUUAUUUUAUGCUGAUUGAAGGCUAAUGUUCAGGAACGUGUUGGUCUUUGCAACAACAUCAUGCUUUCAAGUUUCAACCUAUUACGAGGAUAGUUUAAAGAUUUAUACGAGGGUUUGGAAGUAUAGUAACAGUUAUACUAUGUAGGUUGAAACUUGAAAAUAUAUUAAAAUAUUUUUUAUUUUUAAAAAAAUAUUUUUGAUAUCAUCAUAUCAAAACAAUUUAAAAACAUAAAAAAAUAAUUUUAAAUAAAUUUUUUUAAAAAUUUUAUAUAAUUCUAUUUAGAACAAGAACACGAUACCAAACGAAUGCCAUGAGUCAUUGAAAAAGCUUGUCAUCUUGCGUAGAAAGGAGGGUACAUAUCCAAACAUCAUUGACACCCAUAUAAUUUUUUUUUCAACACUUGUUUCUAGACAAAUGUUUUCUAGAAUCACUUACAAUAUGAGAAUCUGGUGAUGUGCAUCAUGGGAAUUAUAAUCCAUCUCGUAAAGCUGAAUCUAAUGUGCAAGAGGAUUCAGAUCCAAUGACAAAAGCAAGAGCGAAACAACUACAACGGGCUUUAACGAAUCAAAUUGCAAUGAUUGAAGAUGCGUCGGAGUUAAAAAUUAGCAAUCAGUUUGAAAUUGGUUCAAAGGUGCUUAUUUUCCUACAAUUGGAACUUGGAGAUGGGAAAAGCCCUUAAUGGUUCUUUUGAUCCUGGGCUACUUGUAUUUGGAUUGAUAAUGCAAGUGAAGGAAUUGAUGUUGUUUACGGUCAGAACAGUAGAUGGAUUUGAACCCGAAUUUGAAGUCAUCCAAUGCAUGUGAAAACAAGAUUAUGUAGGUAAAAUUCAAGUUCAGAACGUGAUCUUUCUAGAUUGUCCACCAUGAUUACAUUGGAUUUUUGUGUCAAAAGUUAUGGCUGUUUUAAAUUUGGUCUGCUUGUGUUUUAGAAAUGUAAAAAAACGUGUGUUAGUUAAAUUUGUCUACUUACUUUAUUAAAAGUCUAGUUUUAGGCUUGACUUCUUCAUGUUGAAUUCACCUAACUUUGGAGGGAUAAUAAUAUGUAUCAGAAUAUGUAAUAAACACUUUUGGCCAAGAUUUGAAACUUAAUUCAGAGAAUUAAGAGUUGUUCUUCCAAAUUCGUUUGUGAAGAACCCUACCUGACUUAUCACUCUUCAAUGACAAAGAGUGUGGCGUCGAAAUCCUAGAUUGAUCUUUGUGGCCCAGAUCGACUUAUCAAAGUAUCAUUCUAGUCUAUCCUCCAUUUUAUUUACCUUAAAUCACUACAAUACAGCCUAAAUACAACAAGAAAGACAACACAACCAGACCCAUCCUUCAUCCAUUUUCGUCAGAAUCAUUGUUGCCGAUUUUCGAAUCAUUCCCGUGCACAUCAUCUGGUGUUUUACUUUUAACACACAAUACACUAGCUCUGCUACCAAUUCAGGAUUUUUAAUUAGUAAGAUUUUAUUAUCACACUUUUAUUUGGCAUGGUUUGGUUACAAGGACUAAAAAAUAUGAACGAGGAUAAGGUCUUUACUCACAUUUUCAAUGAGGUUGAGAGUUGUACUAUGAUUGAAAAGGGAAUGCAAGUUAAAUUGUAUUACCUUGAAAGAUGACCAAUGUUUACCUCUCUUCUGCUACCAUCGCCAUUGUUUUCAACAGAUUGUCAACGUAUGCUUGUGUUUCUUGUAAUUGUGCUUACAAGAAGGUCAGUAAACCUUUGGAGGUCACGUUACAAAUGAUGGGCAAACCGCCAUUUUAGCAUGGGAAAGCUGGCAUCAGAUAUCGCUACAGGAAACUUUUAUUUAUCCUUUUGAUUAUUUAUUACAAUUUGAAUGUCCCCCAUAUGCAUCCCAAGGAGUACAAUGGUUUGAUCAUGCAUCCUAGUCCUUAAUGAAUGAUCAUGUCUACUUGAAACACUCACCGAGGUCAAGAGCGAAGCCAUGUUGAAAGCUUGGGUGUGCUGUAACCCAGGUCAAGAUUUACUCCAUCAAUAUAUUAAAAUAUUGAUGAAGGCUUAGGUGUAAUAGAUUUAUUGUUGAAGCUUAGGUGCAAUAAAUGAUCAUGAUAUAUAUUGAUGGAUUAAAAUGAAAGGGGAGCUCUUAGUAUAUUUUAUGAGGAUAUACAAUGAACAAGAGCUUGCUGAGGAUAUCUGUAAACCUUCUGGGCAAAAAAAUAAAUUCAUUAGUUUUAUAUAAAAAACAAAUUCGUAAUUCUCGAUCGGGUUAUUAGAAAAUUCUGCAAAUUUGCGUGGAGCCUUUUAAUAUGAUGCUUUAGCUAGGUUAAAAUUUCAGCAUUUCUGGAGUAAUUCAAAAUUUUGAUUUAAAUCACAAUUUUGACCAGUUUUAUGUUAUUGAGCUUAAUUUUCAAUCUGACCAUCAGAUUAAGCUGAAAUUUUAUAAGGGACCUUAAAAUAUAUUGAAUAAAAUCUAGUUAAAAUUUUAGGAUGAACAGAGCUUGGUAGUGAUAAAAAAAAAUAAAGACCAUCAAAUAGAAGCAAAAAAGACUUAUUAAGGGUUAAAUGGUUAUUUUCCCUUAAAAAAUAAAACAAACCAGUUUUUCCUUUUUUUUAUAUGUUGCCAACUGCGCAGAAGCAGAACUGGAAAAGAAAGAAUAGAAAAGGCGAGAGAGAAAAGUAAGGGGAAAAUAUAAAAAAAAAAUCCAAGAAAAAAAAAUAAAAAAAGUGAAAGAAAAACCUUAUAAACUUGCAAAAUCCAACAUAUGAAACACUAAUCUAAGAAAGAAUCAAGUGAAGGAAAGAGAAAUUGAGAGAUAAAAAAAAUUUAAUACACCCGACUUAUUUUGUCAGGUCAUGGGUUGACCUACCAGGUUGACCAAGUUUUACCAGGUUGUUGCCCCGACCAAUCUUUUAUUAAACCUAGACCGGUCCAGCCACCAGGUCCUGGGUUGACCCGUCAGGCCAGGUUUAAUAACUAGGGUUUUAUAUGUUAUAUAUUUUUGAUGUCGACAUUUGGAAUGUUUCAAAUACAAAGAAGGCUAUCAAAAUUUCAAAAAAAUCUUAAUCAGUUAGAAAUAUAAAUACUUUUAGAUUCAUUUAAUCGAUCACUAAAAUUAUUAUAUAAAACGGUCAAUUGUUUCAUAAACCAAUUAAAAAGAUGUAUUAUUUUCAGACUUAAUAUAAAAAAAUUUAUAUAUGCUAUAAAUAAAAUAUUUCAAUAAUAUUGCAAUACUUAUGAUAACUAAAAAAAUUAUUCUUGCUUGAAAAUACUCUAAAAGAAUUUCAAAUAAUUAAUCGAGACACAUUCUACAAAAUUCUUGAAAAUCUUUAUUAUUUUCACAGGAUAUUGCGCUUGGCAAAACCUUUUAAGGCGGUCUACAUGAUUGUUCCUGCUGUUGCCAAGGAGGCUAGAACGAUCAUUUGAAUGCAACAAAGCCUCUCAGCCUUUCAAGGUUGUUUUUUAAGAUAAUAAUAGCAUCACAAGUUAAUGAAACUUUGUGAAGAGAGGCACAAUUUUAAGUUUUUGAUCCUAAAGAAUUGAGAGCAUGGCAAGCUGCAAUGCCAACACAGAAGGGUGCAUAUUGUGGCUGCUAACUAUAUGGUUUUUUCCCUUCAUGCUUCCCCCAGUAAUGAAAAUGCAUGGAGAUCUCCUUGAAACAUCGACCGAUGUUGUGUUUCAAGUGCCAAUUUACUUGUUUGAAAUCAUUAGAGCAAAAAAUGAUAGCCAAGAACUCGGUUUAGAACCUUAUAGCAACUAAAUUGGAUCGUUUUCUUCUCCUCUGUUUUGUUGCUCUUAUUUGCAACAGGCGACUGGAAGCUUUAAACUUACAAAACAGCAUGUGCACUUCAUAUGCAUGGGAAAGACUUCAGGCAUAUUACAGAGGCUUACGCUGCCUUACAAAAGGAAACUGAUAGGGACUUGCUGAAGUUUCUGAAACAGCGUAAAGAGUAAUCCAUCGAGCUACAUUUGCAAUUCCAAAGAAGAAAGAGAGCAACAUUCCUUUCAAGCUGGCAUUCCCUUGAAAAUACUUACAAGUUUUUCGAGUAAUUACCCAAACAUAGCUGGGAUCUUAAAAGACUUCAAUUCAACAGAACUUCAUAGCCAAUCCCUACAUUAUCUCAGUCCAAACAUAGCUGGGAUACUACUCCAUU
RNAcentral lists this long non-coding RNA (4966 nucleotides) under Populus tremula. RNAcentral's name for it is "long non-coding RNA (PTRE_LNC002943)". The record is from RNAcentral. Lineage: Eukaryota; Viridiplantae; Streptophyta; Magnoliopsida; Malpighiales; Salicaceae.